Molecule: ribosomal RNA, 471 nt
Filed under: uncultured bacterium
Lineage: Bacteria
Description: partial 16S ribosomal RNA
Rfam family: Bacterial small subunit ribosomal RNA
Source: RNAcentral
GACGAACGCUGGCGGCGUGCUUAACACAUGCAAGUCGAACGGAAAGGCCCUGCUUGCCGGGUGCUCGAGUGGCGAACGGGUGAGUAACACGUGGGUGAUCUGCCCCUUACUUUGGGAUAAGCCUGGGAAACUGGGUCUAAUACUGGAUAGGACCAUGCUGUAGGUGGUGUGGUGGAAAGAUUUUUUCGGUAAGGGAUGAGCUCGCGGCCUAUCAGCUUGUUGGUGGGGUAAUGGCCUACCAAGGCGUCGACGGGUAGCCGGCCUGAGAGGGUGGACGGCCACAUUGGGACUGAGAUACGGCCCAGACUCCUACGGGAGGCAGCAGUGGGGAAUAUUGCACAAUGGGCGCAAGCCUGAUGCAGCGACGCCGCGUGGGGGAUGACGGCCUUCGGGUUGUAAACUCCUUGCAGCCAUGACGAAGCCUCUUUUGGGGUGACGGUAGUGGUAGAAGAAGCACCGGCUAACUACGUG